UAUGUUACUCGAUCAGGGUCAAUGGGUGGUAAUCGUAAAGGCCUAUGGUCUAGAUUGGUGACUUUCAUACCCUUGGGAAGGGAUCUUGCAUAAGGUCGGUCCAAAUGGUCGAGCCUAUACCAUAAUUUGUGAGUGGAAAAAUGCAUUUGUGCCCCACCCUU
Molecule: small nuclear RNA, 161 nt
Filed under: Olea europaea subsp. europaea
Lineage: Eukaryota; Viridiplantae; Streptophyta; Magnoliopsida; Lamiales; Oleaceae
Source: RNAcentral